CAAAUGUGUACGGAAUACGGAUAAUAUUGAUAAUAAAAAUAAAAAAUUUGUUUACCAUUCUUAUCAAUUUUGUAAUGAUAAAUUCACAUUACAACGCCAUCUAUAGGUCUGUGGUUAUAAGUUGUCGAUUUAAUAAUAAUCCAGAUGGCUUACCAGUUACCAAAUUUUCCCAGGAAUCACCUAUAACCAUAAUAUUAAAUAUUAUACCUAUUACCUGUAAAAAGUAACAAGUUUAUGCCAACAAAUUAUAAUGUUAGUCUAUUAUGCAUUGUGUACUUAAUAAUUACAAAUGUACAAUAUUAUUUCAAGUAUUUCAACGCUCGUCAAUCUUAAAAUUACGAUCUCAAUGCGUUUUUUCUAUGAACAUAACGAGUAUCAACUGACAGUGAAUUUUUCCGGAUUUUCGGUUUAACCUGAUGGACCGUAUUAUAGCAGAACUGUAUAAAAUACAAAAUCGGUAGGCACUUUUCGAGGCAUCUAUUAUACACCUGCAGGCUGCAAGUACCAGUAUUUUGAAUUUUACAGAUGAUGUCUCAGCAGUGGUAGAAGUAUUAAAUUCGUACCAAUGCGAAAAAACUUAAAGGGCCCUUUUCAUUUUCAGAAUAAAUGUAACAAAAAAAUGUAACGAUGUUUGUGACCAAUAUCAUUUUCAGAAUUCGGAAACAAACGCUCUGGAGUACAACACUACAAUACUCAAAAAAGUAUGGAUUUUUUCUAGAUUUUUUCAAAUUGAGUCUAUAGUAAGUAGUAUGAAAACAUUUUAAUAGUUAUAGUUAUUUAAAGAUUUAAUAAGUACUUAUUCUUAAAAUUUAGUUUAAACUUUUAUACAUAUAAUUAUGUAUUACCAUUAUACACGUCAUAUUGUUGGUUCAAAAUAUUUAAAUUUUGUUUUAAUCACAUUACACUAUUACAAAUAUUGUUUUUUCAAUCAGUUCAGUAGAUUUAUAUCUAUAUACCUAAAUAUGGGACAUUAAAUUAAAUCUGAAGUUUUGUUUUAACCAAAUUCAUAGCUUUAUUUGUCUUUAAU
Long non-coding RNA from Aphis gossypii (cotton aphid), 1027 nucleotides. RefSeq lists it as uncharacterized. The record is from RefSeq and is a predicted model, not a curated record. Lineage: Eukaryota; Metazoa; Arthropoda; Insecta; Hemiptera; Aphididae. The transcript is spliced from 3 exons.